RNAcentral lists this ribosomal RNA (479 nucleotides) under Escherichia sp. 1.9-16. RNAcentral's name for it is "bacterial SSU rRNA". It matches the Rfam family "Bacterial small subunit ribosomal RNA", at positions 76 to 546 of the family's 1533-position model. Lineage: Bacteria; Pseudomonadati; Pseudomonadota; Gammaproteobacteria; Enterobacterales; Enterobacteriaceae. The record is from RNAcentral.
CNNCUUGCUGNUUCGCUGACGAGUGGCGGAUAGGGUGGAUGAUGUCUGGGAAACUGCCUGAUGGAGGGGGAUAACUANUGGAAACAGUAGCUAAUACCGCAUAACGUCGCAAGACCAAAGAGGGGGACCUUCGGGCCUCUUGCCAUCGGAUGUGCCCAGAUGGGAUUAGCUAGUAGGUGGGGUAACGGCUCACCUAGGCGACGAUCCCUAGCUGGUCUGAGAGGAUGACCAGCCACACUGGAACUGAGACACGGUCCAAACUCCUACGGGAGGCACGCAGUGGGGAAUAUUGCACAAUGGGCGCAAGCCUGAUGCAGCCAUGCCGCGUGUAUGAAGAAGGCCUUCGGGUUGUAUAGUACUUUCAGCGGGGAGGAAGGGAGUAAAGUUAAUACCUUUGCUCAUUGACGUUACCCGCAUAAGAAGCACCGGCUAACUCCGUGCCAGCAGCCGCGGUAAUACGGAGGGUGCAAGCGUUAAUC